RNAcentral lists this long non-coding RNA (4541 nucleotides) under Hordeum vulgare. RNAcentral describes it as "long non-coding RNA (HVUL_LNC020511)". Lineage: Eukaryota; Viridiplantae; Streptophyta; Magnoliopsida; Poales; Poaceae. The record is from RNAcentral.
ACCCGCCGUUGGGGCGCUGGCGAACGCCACGGUAGCCCGACGCAGAACGGCGGCAUGGUGGCUCGUCGGCGGCGGCGGCGGCGCGAGAGGCAGAGAGAGUGCGGCGCGAGAGGGAGAGAGAACGCGGCGGCGGCGCGAGAGGCAGAGAGAGUGCGGCGCGAGAGGGAGAGAGAACGCGGCGGCGGCGCGAGAGGCAGAGAGAGUGCGGCGCGAGAGGGAGAGAGAACGCGGCGGCGGCGCGAGAGGCAGAGAGAGUGCGGCGCGAGAGGGAGAGAGAACGCGGCGGCGGCGCGAGAGGCAGAGAGAGUGCGGCGCGAGAGGGAGAGAGAACGCGGCGGCGGCGCGAGAGGCAGAGAGAGUGCGGCGCGAGAGGGAGAGAGAACGCGGCGGCGGCGCGAGAGGCAGAGAGAGUGCGGCGCGAGAGGGAGAGAGAACGCGGCGGCGGCGCGAGAGGCAGAGAGAGUGCGGCGCGAGAGGGAGAGAGAACGCGGCGGCGGCGCGAGAGGCAGAGAGAGUGCGGCGCGAGAGGGAGAGAGAACGCGGCGGCGGCGCGAGAGGCAGAGAGAGUGCGGCGCGAGAGGGAGAGAGAACGCGGCGGCGGCGCGAGAGGCAGAGAGAGUGCGGCGCGAGAGGGAGAGAGAACGCGGCGGCGGCGCGAGAGGCAGAGAGAGUGCGGCGCGAGAGGGAGAGAGAACGCGGCGGCGGCGCGAGAGGCAGAGAGAGUGCGGCGCGAGAGGGAGAGAGAACGCGGCGGCGGCGCGAGAGGCAGAGAGAGUGCGGCGCGAGAGGGAGAGAGAACGCGGCGGCGGCGCGAGAGGCAGAGAGAGUGCGGCGCGAGAGGGAGAGAGAACGCGGCGGCGGCGCGAGAGGCAGAGAGAGUGCGGCGCGAGAGGGAGAGAGAACGCGGCGGCGGCGCGAGAGGCAGAGAGAGUGCGGCGCGAGAGGGAGAGAGAACGCGGCGGCGGCGCGAGAGGCAGAGAGAGUGCGGCGCGAGAGGGAGAGAGAACGCGGCGGCGGCGCGAGAGGCAGAGAGAGUGCGGCGCGAGAGGGAGAGAGAACGCGGCGGCGGCGCGAGAGGCAGAGAGAGUGCGGCGCGAGAGGGAGAGAGAACGCGGCGGCGGCGCGAGAGGCAGAGAGAGUGCGGCGCGAGAGGGAGAGAGAACGCGGCGGCGGCGCGAGAGGCAGAGAGAGUGCGGCGCGAGAGGGAGAGAGAACGCGGCGGCGGCGCGAGAGGCAGAGAGAGUGCGGCGCGAGAGGGAGAGAGAACGCGGCGGCGGCGCGAGAGGCAGAGAGAGUGCGGCGCGAGAGGGAGAGAGAACGCGGCGGCGGCGCGAGAGGCAGAGAGAGUGCGGCGCGAGAGGGAGAGAGAACGCGGCGGCGGCGCGAGAGGCAGAGAGAGUGCGGCGCGAGAGGGAGAGAGAACGCGGCGGCGGCGCGAGAGGCAGAGAGAGUGCGGCGCGAGAGGGAGAGAGAACGCGGCGGCGGCGCGAGAGGCAGAGAGAGUGCGGCGCGAGAGGGAGAGAGAACGCGGCGGCGGCGCGAGAGGCAGAGAGAGUGCGGCGCGAGAGGGAGAGAGAACGCGGCGGCGGCGCGAGAGGCAGAGAGAGUGCGGCGCGAGAGGGAGAGAGAACGCGGCGGCGGCGCGAGAGGCAGAGAGAGUGCGGCGCGAGAGGGAGAGAGAACGCGGCGGCGGCGCGAGAGGCAGAGAGAGUGCGGCGCGAGAGGGAGAGAGAACGCGGCGGCGGCGCGAGAGGCAGAGAGAGUGCGGCGCGAGAGGGAGAGAGAACGCGGCGGCGGCGCGAGAGGCAGAGAGAGUGCGGCGCGAGAGGGAGAGAGAACGCGGCGGCGGCGCGAGAGGCAGAGAGAGUGCGGCGCGAGAGGGAGAGAGAACGCGGCGGCGGCGCGAGAGGCAGAGAGAGUGCGGCGCGAGAGGGAGAGAGAACGCGGCGGCGGCGCGAGAGGCAGAGAGAGUGCGGCGCGAGAGGGAGAGAGAACGCGGCGGCGGCGCGAGAGGCAGAGAGAGUGCGGCGCGAGAGGGAGAGAGAACGCGGCGGCGGCGCGAGAGGCAGAGAGAGUGCGGCGCGAGAGGGAGAGAGAACGCGGCGGCGGCGCGAGAGGCAGAGAGAGUGCGGCGCGAGAGGGAGAGAGAACGCGGCGGCGGCGCGAGAGGCAGAGAGAGUGCGGCGCGAGAGGGAGAGAGAACGCGGCGGCGGCGCGAGAGGCAGAGAGAGUGCGGCGCGAGAGGGAGAGAGAACGCGGCGGCGGCGCGAGAGGCAGAGAGAGUGCGGCGCGAGAGGGAGAGAGAACGCGGCGGCGGCGCGAGAGGCAGAGAGAGUGCGGCGCGAGAGGGAGAGAGAACGCGGCGGCGGCGCGAGAGGCAGAGAGAGUGCGGCGCGAGAGGGAGAGAGAACGCGGCGGCGGCGCGAGAGGCAGAGAGAGUGCGGCGCGAGAGGGAGAGAGAACGCGGCGGCGGCGCGAGAGGCAGAGAGAGUGCGGCGCGAGAGGGAGAGAGAACGCGGCGGCGGCGCGAGAGGCAGAGAGAGUGCGGCGCGAGAGGGAGAGAGAACGCGGCGGCGGCGCGAGAGGCAGAGAGAGUGCGGCGCGAGAGGGAGAGAGAACGCGGCGGCGGCGCGAGAGGCAGAGAGAGUGCGGCGCGAGAGGGAGAGAGAACGCGGCGGCGGCGCGAGAGGCAGAGAGAGUGCGGCGCGAGAGGGAGAGAGAACGCGGCGGCGGCGCGAGAGGCAGAGAGAGUGCGGCGCGAGAGGGAGAGAGAACGCGGCGGCGGCGCGAGAGGCAGAGAGAGUGCGGCGCGAGAGGGAGAGAGAACGCGGCGGCGGCGCGAGAGGCAGAGAGAGUGCGGCGCGAGAGGGAGAGAGAACGCGGCGGCGGCGCGAGAGGCAGAGAGAGUGCGGCGCGAGAGGGAGAGAGAACGCGGCGGCGGCGCGAGAGGCAGAGAGAGUGCGGCGCGAGAGGGAGAGAGAACGCGGCGGCGGCGCGAGAGGCAGAGAGAGUGCGGCGCGAGAGGGAGAGAGAACGCGGCGGCGGCGCGAGAGGCAGAGAGAGUGCGGCGCGAGAGGGAGAGAGAACGCGGCGGCGGCGCGAGAGGCAGAGAGAGUGCGGCGCGAGAGGGAGAGAGAACGCGGCGGCGGCGCGAGAGGCAGAGAGAGUGCGGCGCGAGAGGGAGAGAGAACGCGGCGGCGGCGCGAGAGGCAGAGAGAGUGCGGCGCGAGAGGGAGAGAGAACGCGGCGGCGGCGCGAGAGGCAGAGAGAGUGCGGCGCGAGAGGGAGAGAGAACGCGGCGGCGGCGCGAGAGGCAGAGAGAGUGCGGCGCGAGAGGGAGAGAGAACGCGGCGGCGGCGCGAGAGGCAGAGAGAGUGCGGCGCGAGAGGGAGAGAGAACGCGGCGGCGGCGCGAGAGGCAGAGAGAGUGCGGCGCGAGAGGGAGAGAGAACGCGGCGGCGGCGCGAGAGGCAGAGAGAGUGCGGCGCGAGAGGGAGAGAGAACGCGGCGGCGGCGCGAGAGGCAGAGAGAGUGCGGCGCGAGAGGGAGAGAGAACGCGGCGGCGGCGCGAGAGGCAGAGGGAGAGAGAACGCGGCGCGAGAGGCAGGGCAGCGCGCUGCCUUUUAUGGGCGCGCGGGACGCGGUGCUGCAAAAAUGCCGCGCGGGCUGCUGCCUUUUUGCGCGCGCUAGCGGUUCCCGCGCGCGCGGUUUUCCCGCCGCCGCUGGAGCGCGCAUUUCAAUCCCGCGCGCGGUAAACUGCCGUUUUUUAGCGCGCGCCCGCCUUUUUGCGCGGCUGUUGGAGAUGUUCUAAGAGCAACUCUAGCAGAUUUAUCAUUUUUUUGGUUGCACAGAAUAAACGGGUUGAUCUGGUGAUAAUGAUCUGAGCAAAGGCAAUUACAAUUCUACUGCUCCUUCGCAUAAUGUGCUACACUCUUUUUUGUGUGUGUGUUUGAAGGUGUUUCUUAUUUAUGCUCCUGUGUUGUCUGCACUUUACCACAUCAAGUAUCAGCAAAAAGAAAAUGUCCGUGGUGUUAUAUAUGUAGUUAGUUUUGUUACAAUUGUGCAACUUAAAUACUUUGUGGUUUGCACACAUGCACAGCAAAAUACUCCAAAUCCGGUGAGGUGUGAUGAUGCUCUAUCGGAGUAUUUUAAUAGCAAGCUUCUAUAUCACAGCCCUUCUUCACAGAAGCAUCUUCAAGUCAUAUGGUAGUAUUGUUGGUGGUGUAAUUCGUACGGCCAAUCUGGUAACCAGGGCAACAUGCUUGUGAUAUACUGUUUUGAAGCAACCGAGAGUGCAUAUGAGCAUUAGAUGUUGAGAAUAAUACUUGGUCAGUAGUUUUGGUAACUAUUGAAGCUAGUUCGUCUUUACAUGUGAGCCCUUGCUAGGCUAUGUAUAAUAUAAUUCCUCUUUGUCAUCUUUGGAACUAGUUCUUGUAUUUGUAUCUCUUAUUGUUGGCAGAGCUGAUGUCUACAUGCGAUUACCAUAAUUUUUGUUGUGGAGAAAAUACUUAAGUGUUAUUAUUAGUAAAAUAUUGAUCUGAG